GGGGCGGUAGCUCAGUGGUCAGAGCAAGGGACUCAUAAUCCCCGGGUCGUGGGUUCGAUCCCCACCCGCCCCA
This 73-nucleotide transfer RNA is filed under the name Ilumatobacter sp. RNAcentral describes it as "tRNA-Ile". It matches the Rfam family "tRNA". From Rfam's summary of the family: Transfer RNA (tRNA) molecules are approximately 80 nucleotides in length. Lineage: Bacteria; Bacillati; Actinomycetota; Acidimicrobiia; Acidimicrobiales; Ilumatobacteraceae. The record is from RNAcentral. RNAcentral also lists the same sequence under 3 other names.